CGCACCUUGCGCCCCUCGGCUAUUCCUUGGGGCAUGCCUGUUUGAGUAUCAUGAACACCUCAACUCUCAUGGUUCGCCGUGAAGGGAUUGGAUCUGGGGGUUUGCUGGCCGCUCGGUCUGCUCCUCUCAAAUGAAUCAGCUUGCCGGUGUUUGGUGGCGUCACAGGUGUGAUAACUAUCUACGCUUGUGGCGGUCCACUGGGUAACCUUUGGUGACAAAGGUUCACUGGAGCUCACAAAUGUCUCUCCUCAGCGGAGACAGCUUUCGAACGUUCGAUCUCAAAUCAGGUAGGACUACCCGCUGAACUUAAGCAUAUCAAUAAGCGGAGG
Molecule: ribosomal RNA, 329 nt
Filed under: uncultured Tomentella
Lineage: Eukaryota; Fungi; Basidiomycota; Agaricomycetes; Thelephorales; Thelephoraceae
Description: eukaryotic LSU rRNA
Rfam family: Eukaryotic large subunit ribosomal RNA (bases 274-329)
Source: RNAcentral